Molecule: ribosomal RNA, 1119 nt
Filed under: Triticum aestivum (bread wheat)
Lineage: Eukaryota; Viridiplantae; Streptophyta; Magnoliopsida; Poales; Poaceae
Description: partial small subunit ribosomal RNA
Source: RNAcentral
AUGGAGGGGGUGGUCAGCGACGUGGCAUCAGCGGUUCGCGAGCUGGUGGUCUCAGAGAAGGGAGCAGUGGAUAAGAAGGCGGUUGGCAGAGGUACAUCCGCUCAUGAUUCUGCUACUGCCACUAUGGUGGUACCGGUGGCCACUCAAGGGGCCCUGUCGCUUGGCCAGGAGGGCCAGGCCAUGGGGCGAGGCGAUCCCGCCCUCAACAUCUCGAGCUCUGGCCAGGAGGGCCAGGAUUUGUUGGCUUCUGCAUCCGCACUACAGGAGGGAUUACUCGGCCAGGCAGGCCAAGUGAUCUCUCCUUUCAACUUUGGCCAGAAGGGCCAACGAACACUGCUACGGGCUGCGGCGAGUGGGACUCCAGGGUGCUAUCCACCUACGGGGCCGGGGGGCAGUAUCUUCUUCAACAUUGCUGCCCCGAAGCCCCUCUUGAUCCCUAUUGAAGCUCGACAGGCCUUGGUCCCCAGCCAGGAAGGCUGGGGAGGCUGGCUGGACAAUGAGGCGACCUCGGCGAACAUGGCCGGGGCUGUUUUUUCACCAAGGUAUGAUGGUCUGCAAAGGAGGAUGGGUGAGGUGUUGGGAAAGAAAGAGGAGAAUACGGCUAUGAUGCUGACUGGUAACCAACCUGCUGAAAUUUUCUCUUCAUCAUCUGCUUUUGCAUCUCACUUUAAAUUUACUGCUGGAGUUGGUGAGGGGAAGAGUAUGCAUGGGAAGCAAGUGAAACAUGAUAAGAAAAAGUGGUUGCAUGUGAACAGGGAGAGAGUACAGGGCACAGAUAAGUUAGUGCAAGGGGAUAGCAGUGCAAAGGGGGCAAGUAAAAGAAAAGGGCUCUAUGAGAUGCAGGCCACGGGCAGCGAUCUAGUUUUUUCUUUUGAGACUAUGAGCAAUGAUAGUGUAGAAUUUAUGUUGUACAAUGAUCUAAACAUCUCAUGUAAGCGUGCGUGUGUGGGUCGCGUAGACACUAUUAGAGGGUCUGAUGGGUCUGUUAAGCAUGUGGCCAAGGAGCUGGAAGGCAGAGAGGAGGACUACCUGGUCAAGAGGAGAGAAUCUGUUGGAGAUGGGAAGGAAGAAAACAUUACAUCGGCGGCCUCCGAGGCGGAGGACCGCCGGGAACCAUGA